Long non-coding RNA from Rhinopithecus roxellana (golden snub-nosed monkey), 463 nucleotides. RefSeq lists it as uncharacterized. The transcript is spliced from 3 exons. Lineage: Eukaryota; Metazoa; Chordata; Mammalia; Primates; Cercopithecidae. The record is from RefSeq and is a predicted model, not a curated record.
CCGGGUUCACGCCAUUCUCCUGCCUCAGCCUCCCGAGUAGCUGGGACUACAGGCACCCGUACUUCACAUUUUUGAAGACUACUUUAGUGUUCCCCCUAAGAUACUCAUCUCUUGGAAAACGAAUUUUCACGUCUUCAAACUUAUACUCUCCUUUUUAUUGAUUUUUGUCAGAAGUUUCUUUAUGUAUCAUUACCAGAAAGACAAUGGGUUGUACUAUCUUCAAAAUUCCAGAUCAUCUCAUCCAUCCAUAAUGGCAUCUGUCACUGCAGUGGUUUCGAAGUCAAGCAGUGGGUGAACUUUCCAGCCUUCUCAAAAAAUGUUCCAAAGACUGUUUUAAUUCCAUCUGGAAUUAGAGUAUGCCAGUGCCACAGAGGAAGCAGUUUUUCGUCUUUCUCUUCUCCCUAAAUGCGGUCACUCCCACACUCUAAGACCAGACCAGAUCAAACCAGACCAGACCAGAUCA